CUGCAAGUGAACUGUUUGGUACAAGAGCCAUUCUAGACAAAUAUCGAUAUUGGGGGCAGCCUGUCACAUUGUGGUACCAGGACUUGAGCUGGUUGAAAAAGCCCAAAGAAACAGAAAAGACCAAGAAAGGGUUUCUGCACUUGAGAAGUUCAAAAGCCUGUAUUUCAUUUUACUCACAUAACCACAGAAGUCUCCCCCAUCACACCCAACGGCUGCAGCUCGGCCUCUGCCAAGCCACAACCAAAGGAAAAGCCAGAAGGAAAACACUUUCUGACACAGGAGAGCCAGGAACAUCAAUACAGAGACCAACCUUGCAACCUCACGGAACCACAGCGUGCGGGAGCGGGAAGGGGCCUUAGAAGUCAUUGCCCAUCCCUUCAUCCUACAGAACAAGAAACUGAGGCCCACACGGACAAGUGAUUGCUCAACCCCUCCAUGCCCGUGAGUGGCACAGGCGGCUGGAAUUGGGCCCAGGUGCCUUGUCUCCGGUUCUCUUUCCAUCACACCAGGAGCACUUGGGAAAUUUGUGCAAGGACCUCCUCGAGGCCAGUGGGCAAAAGCCAUUUCACAAAUUUGCGCAAUAGAAACUGUAUUCUUCUUCAGCAAAUGUAACAUUAGCCGGUGGUAACCACUGCUGUGGAGAGGUGAUCCUGAGGAUCCAGUUUGGCUGCUGGUCUCCAGAUUACAGAUCAACCAGAACGUUACACAGAAAGUGAGAAUUAGCCGGAGCCCGUCUCAAAAACACGACCGGAAUUGAACAUCAGCAGGCCACUGCAGUCUACCUUUGGUGCUGGCGAGAAGACUGGCCCCACCAGCUCAGUGGAUGCCUCCACAACUGGCUGAUGGUUUGGUUGUCCCAAGUCAUCAUUUUUUUUCUUCAAAUACACAAAGCCCAACUUGAGGACCAAGACAAAACAACAUAAAUGUCCUUUAAAGCAAAAGUCCCAACCCAGCAACCCAGAACCUAGCAGACCCCAAGGAGCUCAGAUCCAAAAUGACCUCGUAACGACAGUGGAAAAACCCACACGAGAAAACCUUUCGUGAGGAGGGUGCUUCAUAAAAUCCAGCUGAAUAAAACCUCAUUUCUCUAAACCGCCUUUCUCUGCUACCUCCAGAAGCCAGCCGCCUCAGGAUCUCAACGUGCCCCUGCAUGGUGACCAUCACCUCCCGUCCUGCUAUGUCUAAACUGCCAACCUCAGCUUCACGCUCAUUCCCUCCAUGAAAGUGCAUGAUUUCUACAUCGAGGCUCCUGGAAUCGCCCCCCUCCUCUUUUUCUCUUUUUUUCAGUCCUCCUUUUCCUUCUUUGGGUCCUGAGCACCCUGCCAUUCUUCCAAAAUGGAGAAAAGCAGGGGGGGGAAAGAGGAGAAGCAAACGAAACUUCCCCACGGCUCUGUGAGUGACUGCUAGGUUUCCAUGGCUCGCUUUCCACUGUUCCCGGUGACCCCUGCAGACUCCCCUUAUGAGUGAGUGUCCCGGAAUGUCUCUUUAUUAGGUGUCUGGAGAAGUAAAGCUGUCCUGAUGCCAGCGCCCCCACACUGAGGACUUUAUUAGUUUUUUAAUUUUCUGUCCGGGUGCUCCUGCUGCAUCAAACUUUCCACAGCUGUUAGGAGCUAUUAAGUAAGUAGCCUCAUUGGCCCUUUCCCCUCCCCCACCCCCUUCUUAAUAACACAAGAAACUUCUGGCCCUGCUACAUGGAGCCUUUAAAAUAAAGAUACUUUGUCUCUCUGAUGAGAAA
RNAcentral lists this long non-coding RNA (1735 nucleotides) under Equus caballus (horse). RNAcentral describes it as "lncRNA (ENSECAG00000040188.3)". The record is from RNAcentral. Lineage: Eukaryota; Metazoa; Chordata; Mammalia; Perissodactyla; Equidae.